RNAcentral lists this ribosomal RNA (253 nucleotides) under uncultured bacterium. RNAcentral describes it as "partial 16S ribosomal RNA". It matches the Rfam family "Bacterial small subunit ribosomal RNA", at positions 524 to 776 of the family's 1533-position model. The record is from RNAcentral.
UACAGAGGGUGCGAGCGUUGUCCGGAAUCACUGGGCGUAAAAGGCGCGUAGGCGGCCUGAUAAGUAGGGGGUGAAAUCUUGCGGCUCAACCGCAAGGCUGCCUUCUAAACUGUCAGGCUGGAGCACGGUAGAGGCAGAUGGAAUUCCCGGUGUAGCGGUGGAAUGCGUAGAGAUCGGGAAGAACACCAGUGGCGAAGGCGGUCUGCUGGGCCGUUGCUGACGCUGAGGCGCGACAGCGUGGGGAGCAAACAGG